Long non-coding RNA from Mesocricetus auratus (golden hamster), 553 nucleotides. RefSeq lists it as uncharacterized. The record is from RefSeq and is a predicted model, not a curated record. NCBI's taxonomy places the organism in Eukaryota, Metazoa, Chordata, Mammalia, Rodentia, Cricetidae. The transcript has 2 exons.
AGUUCCGUGAUGUCCACCAGAUGACUCGGACUUUGGGCUCCCUUUCCCUAGUGUAUGUUGAGCCUAAGCCACACCCACUUGGCAAGCCUGUUUCGAGGGUUACAGGCUCAACUAUGAUCACGGCAUAUGAAUCUUCAGAGGGCACAAACAUCCCCAACCCUACCUUACCUCCAUACUUUACUAGGUGUAAUCGUUAUGGAAGCUACAAACGCCAAACACCUGCUACGCAUCACAGUCUUUAUUUCAUCACGCCUCCUGAAUCUCUGAAGGAAGAUGUACAUCUGCUCCUCCCCUAGAAAUGAUGGACAGCCCACUCAUCCAAAGAAGUUCCUGAUCUCAAAGCUAAGGCGUACCCACCCUCCUUAUAUUGCACAAGCCAGGGAUUAAUAACUAUUUUCUGUCAAAUGCCAAAACAUAAAUAGUUUAGUCUUCACAGCCGUAUGGUCUCUAUCCUGACGAUUCAUCUCCUCCAUGUUAGCACAAAAGGAGCCACAGAAACAACAUAAACGAAUGAGCAUGGCUUUGUUCCAAUAAAACUUUAUUUAGCACUUUG